RNAcentral lists this long non-coding RNA (849 nucleotides) under Calidris pugnax (ruff). Its description in RNAcentral is "lncRNA (ENSCPUG00000009394.1)". The record is from RNAcentral. Lineage: Eukaryota; Metazoa; Chordata; Aves; Charadriiformes; Scolopacidae.
GUAACUGCUGAGGACUGGCUGGUCACGCUGUGUAGCUUGGGUGACUGACAACUUGGGUGCGUCCAGAGCCUAUGCCUGGGUACAGAGUUGAGCUUCAUUACGAACAUCAACAUCACCCCAGCCAGGGAAAUACCACCAGCUACAAGUGGAGAGGCCAAGUGCCCAGCUCUCAGCGGUUUUUACCAGUACGGAGCUGCCCCAUGAGAGACACCGGUGAGGUGUGUGGGGCCCCAGGGGAGCACCCCAGCACAGGACAACUGCCAAGUAGAGUUGAUUAUGACUAAUUCAUGUGAGGAAAUACAACAGAGAAGUUAAACAGCAACAACCAGUUUAAUUUCACUUGUUACCAAUAAGGCCUAACUUAAUUUUCAAAAGGAGAUGAAAGGGUUACCACCUUCCUCUCCCAUGUGGAUGUUGAGUGACACAGGUGAAGCCUUCAGCUGUCCUUCUGAUCCUGAUGGACCCACCAAAAGCACCAAGGAGCAACCAGCCCUGGCUGAAAAGCAGUGCAGGAGCACAGGAGCCAGAGCCGUGUGGCCAGCGAUGGAGACAAGAAGAGAGAGAGGGCAUCCCUGCCCCAUCCUGCACAGGGGAUCAGGCUUUUCUCAAGGAUGGUGGAACACCGGGGCUGCUGCCAUGGGGCCCAGUGGCCACACAGGACUCCCAGACUGGAGGUGCAGGGGUGGAGAACGUGGGGUACCUCAUCACAGAUGUCAUCAUCAUCAUCAUGGUCACAGCCCAUGUGGGAACAGCGGGACAGGCAGCUGGUAUGUAGUCUAGAAGACAGGCAUUUUUAGCAAACAGAUGCAAAGAUAGUAAUGCUUUUUUGGAAAUCAGCCUCAUGGCUGG